This is a long non-coding RNA of Maylandia zebra (zebra mbuna), 650 nucleotides long. RefSeq lists it as uncharacterized. The record is from RefSeq and is a predicted model, not a curated record. NCBI's taxonomy places the organism in Eukaryota, Metazoa, Chordata, Actinopteri, Cichliformes, Cichlidae.
UGUGUGUGCAGGAGAGGAGUCGAGCAGAGAGAGCUGCUUUUUCAUGAAACGGGAGUAAAGUAGUGAACUUACAGGAACAUAUACCACUGCCAACGUUGGGAUUAAUUUCUGCAUCGAUCUGCACACCCUUGUGUCCUGGAUCGUAGCCGAGAUCAGCGUGAACCACGUGGGUCUCUGCUCCCUGAUCUGUUUCUUAAGACUUCCAGCUUCAUCACGGAGUUUCUCUCGGUUUGUGGGCUCAUAUAAAGGUGAUUAACAGGAGGAGAAGAGUCUGGUGGUGCAACGGAGGAACAAUUUCAUCCAUUUGGACUCAGCUCAGCCACUACAGAGGAAACAAUCAAUGACUUCAACACAAAAGGACCAACAUGGAGCGAGAAGUCAGCGCUCUCAGGAGGCUGACAAACCUCACAGAAGAAAGGGAGAGAAAACCUACAGCUGUGAUGAGUGUGGGAAGUAUUUUACCCGGGCUGGAGACUUAAAAACUCACCAACUCUUCCACAGUGGAGUUAAAGCGUACAGCUGUGACUUGUGUGGAAAGUAUUUUACCCGGGCAGGAUACUUAAAAACUCACCAACUCUUCCACAGUGGAGUUAAAGCGUACAGCUGUGACUUGUGUGGAAAGUCUUUUACCCGGGCAGGAGACUUAAAAA